AUGGCAAUUCUGCUUAAAACAGAGUCAGCCGGGUUAGUUCCAUUCAAAUCAGGCAAAUUAGAGUCCAAAACAAGGGCAAAAGAGUUUGGAAAAGUAGAUACGAUGGAGACGUAUCAGCCCGUACCGCUCAUGAAGCGGCAGGGGGUGGCCGAUAUUUUCCAUGCUAGAUGUGUUAUUCUCAAGAUGAGUGUUUAUUUACUUGUCAUUGCACGAGAGUAUGGUGGUAAUAGGGAUGCCGAGUCCCAAAAUGAAAAAGAAAUUUACUUUGUGUUGUCAAAUAAUAAAUUCCUUAGAAAAUGUUAG
This 303-nucleotide ribosomal RNA is filed under the name Triticum aestivum (bread wheat). RNAcentral's name for it is "partial small subunit ribosomal RNA". Lineage: Eukaryota; Viridiplantae; Streptophyta; Magnoliopsida; Poales; Poaceae. The record is from RNAcentral.